CUUGGUCAUUUAGAGGAAGUAAAAGUCGUAACAAGGUUUUGCUUACAGAAGCCUUUGCAGCCCGAAAGGGUGGCCCCGCGACUCUAAAGAAAGGCUAGGCCUUGCAAGUCGAUGUAUUUCGGCGACACAACUAAACUAUCGGGAAAUGCCCCCCGCCCUCUAGGGGUCGGUGGGAAAAUCCGUAGCACCGCGUAGCAGUAUUUGGUGUUCACAGACUAAAGAGUUGUGGGUCCUAGUUCACAAGAUUAGGGCUUAAAAUAUAGUCGGGCUCAGCCAGCAAUGGCUGGGAGCACUGUUCCGUAGGUAUGCAAGUUUUGCCUGCUACAGCAGCCGCCCUACCCGGCGCUGCUAGUCUCCCCAGGGAGGCGACAUGCUUAAUGUGCGGAGAGCCCCUCUCACGGGAGGGCAAUCCGCAGUUACCUCGGGGUAAUUCAGAGACUCAAUGAGCAUGGGUUCAGCGUUGUCUGAGCUUAAGAUAGAGCCCGUCCCUGCCGGCAAUGGCGGGGGGUGAACGGAACCUGCGGAAGGAUCAUUAUAGAGUACACGGGCUCCGGCCCACUAUCUCUCACCCUCUGUUUACCACAGUUUAGUUGCCUUGGCGCCUAGCGCCAGUGGAUCGAAACCCUAGAAUCAUUGCUGUCUGAGUACUAUAUAAUAGUUAAAACUUUCAACAACGGAUCUCUUGGUUCUGGCAUCGAUGAAGAACGCAGCGAAAUGCGAUAAGUAAUGUGAAUUGCAGAAUUCAGUGAAUCAUCGAAUCUUCGAACGCACAUUGCACCCCCUGGUAUUCCGGGGGGUAUGCCUGUUCGAGCGUCAUUACAACCCUCAAGCUCCGGCUUGGUGUUGGGCUCGCCCUGUAGGGCUUGCCUCAAAAUCAGUGGCGGCCACAGCCCGACCUUCAGCGCAGUAAUGCUCGUCGCUGUAAGGGGAGGCUUCUGGCGCCAUCACAACCCCCACCACACAAGGUUGACCUCGGAUCAGGUAGGGAUACCCGCUGAACUUAAGCAUAUCAAUAAGCGGAGGA
RNAcentral lists this ribosomal RNA (1024 nucleotides) under uncultured fungus. Its description in RNAcentral is "eukaryotic LSU rRNA". The stretch from base 663 to 816 matches the Rfam family "5.8S ribosomal RNA". Lineage: Eukaryota; Fungi. The record is from RNAcentral.